UACGGGGGGAGCAAGCGUUGUUCGGAUUUACUGGGCGUAAAGGGCGCGUAGGCGGUCGUGACAAGUCACUUGUAAAAUCUCCGGGCUUAACCCGGAGCGGCCAAGUGAUACUGUUGUGCUAGAGUACAGUUGCUGUGGGCGGAGUAUGACGUGUAGUGGUGAAAUACAUAGAGAUGUCAUAGAACACCGAUUGCGAAGGCAGCUCACAAAACUGUAACUGGCACUGAGGCUCGAAAGUGCGGGGAUCAAACAGG
RNAcentral lists this ribosomal RNA (254 nucleotides) under uncultured bacterium. Its description in RNAcentral is "partial 16S ribosomal RNA". It matches the Rfam family "Bacterial small subunit ribosomal RNA", at positions 524 to 776 of the family's 1533-position model. The record is from RNAcentral.